Molecule: unclassified non-coding RNA, 379 nt
Filed under: soil metagenome
Description: partial contains 5.8S ribosomal RNA, internal transcribed spacer 2, and large subunit ribosomal RNA
Rfam family: 5.8S ribosomal RNA (bases 1-120)
Source: RNAcentral
GAUGAAGAACGCAGCGAAAUGCGAUAAGUAAUGUGAAUUGCAGAAUUCAGUGAAUCAUCGAAUCUUUGAACGCACAUUGCGCCCGCCAGUAUUCUGGCGGGCAUGCCUGUUCGAGCGUCAUUUCAACCCUCAAGCCCCAGCGGCCUGGUGUUGGGGACCGGCGACCUCGCCCGAGCCCGCCCUCCGGGGCGCGUGCCCGGUGCGUCCGCCGCCCCCGAAAUGAAUUGGCGGCCUCGUCGCGGCCUCCUCUGCGUAGUAGCACAACCUCGCAAGCGGGAGCGCGACGCGGCCACUGCCGUAAAACGCCCAACUUUUUUAGAGUUGACCUCGGAUCAGGUAGGAAUGCCCGCUGAACUUAAGCAUAUCAAUAAGCGGAGGA